UACACAUGCAAGUCGACGAUGAACCACUUCGGUGGGGAUUAGUGGCGAACGGGUGAGUAACACGUGGGCAAUCUGCCCUGCACUCUGGGACAAGCCCUGGAAACGGGGUCUAAUACCGGAUACUGAGCCGCUUGGGCAUCCAAGUGGUUCGAAAGCUCCGGCGGUGCAGGAUGAGCCCGCGGCCUAUCAGCUUGUUGGUGAGGUAAUGGCUCACCAAGGCGACGACGGGUAGCCGGCCUGAGAGGGCGACCGGCCACACUGGGACUGAGACACGGCCCAGACUCCUACGGGAGGCAGCAGUGGGGAAUAUUGCACAAUGGGCGAAAGCCUGAUGCAGCGACGCCGCGUGAGGGAUGACGGCCUUCGGGUUGUAAACCUCUUUCAGCAGGGAAGAAGCGAAAGUGACGGUACCUGCAGAAGAAGCGCCGGCUAACUACGUGCCAGCAGCCGCGGUAAUACGUAGGGCGCAAGCGUUGUCCGGAAUUAUUGGGCGUAAAGAGCUCGUAGGCGGCUUGUCACGUCGGUUGUGAAAGCCCGGGGCUUAACCCCGGGUCUGCAGUCGAUACGGGCAGGCUAGAGUUCGGUAGGGGAGAUCGGAAUUCCUGGUGUAGCGGUGAAAUGCGCAGAUAUCAGGAGGAACACCGGUGGCGAAGGCGGAUCUCUGGGCCGAUACUGACGCUGAGGAGCGAAAGCGUGGGGAGCGAACAGGAUUAGAUACCCUGGUAGUCCACGCCGUAAACGGUGGGCACUA
RNAcentral lists this ribosomal RNA (751 nucleotides) under bacterium 135_xplvp202. Its description in RNAcentral is "bacterial SSU rRNA". It matches the Rfam family "Bacterial small subunit ribosomal RNA", at positions 50 to 818 of the family's 1533-position model. RNAcentral also lists the same sequence under 1 other name. The record is from RNAcentral.